UACAGAUGGACCCGCGGCGCAUUAGCUAGUUGGUGAGGUAACGGCUCACCAAGGCGACGAUGCGUAGCCGACCUGAGAGGGUGAUCGGCCACACUGGGACUGAGACACGGCCCAGACUCCUACGGGAGGCAGCAGUAGGGAAUCUUCCGCAAUGGACGAAAGUCUGACGGAGCAACGCCGCGUGAGUGAUGAAGGUUUUCGGAUCGUAAAGCUCUGUUGUUAGGGAAGAACAAGUGCAAGAGUAACUGCUUGCACCUUGACGGUACCUAACCAGAAGGGCGGGGCUAACUACGUGCCAGCAGCCGCGGUAAUACGUAGGUGGCAAGCGUUGUCCGGAAUUAUUGGGCGUAAAGGGCUCGCAGGCGGUUUCUUAAGUCUGAUGUGAAAGCCCCCCGCUCAACCGGGGAGGGUCAUUGGAAACUGGGAAACUUGAGUGCAGAAGAGGAGAGUGGAAUUCCACGUGUAGCGGUGAAAUGCGUAGAGAUGUGGAGGAACACCAGUGGCGAAGGCGACUCUCUGGUCUGUAACUGACGCUGAGGAGCGAAAGCGUGGGGAGCGAACAGGAUUAGAUACCCUGGUAGUCCACGCCGUAAACGAUGAGUGCUAAGUGUUAGGGGGUUUCCGCCCCUUAGUGCUGCAGCUAACGCAUUAAGCACUCCGCCUGGGGAGUACGGUCGCAAGACUGAAACUCAAAGGAAUU
This 700-nucleotide ribosomal RNA is filed under the name Bacillus altitudinis. Its description in RNAcentral is "bacterial SSU rRNA". It matches the Rfam family "Bacterial small subunit ribosomal RNA", at positions 220 to 911 of the family's 1533-position model. Lineage: Bacteria; Bacillati; Bacillota; Bacilli; Caryophanales; Bacillaceae. The record is from RNAcentral.